Molecule: ribosomal RNA, 262 nt
Filed under: uncultured bacterium
Lineage: Bacteria
Description: partial 16S ribosomal RNA
Rfam family: Bacterial small subunit ribosomal RNA
Source: RNAcentral
AUACGGAAGGGGGGCUAGCGUUUGGUUUCGGGAAUUACUGGGCGUAAAUGCGCGCGCAGGCGGUCUUCCAAGUCAGUGGUGAAAGCCUGGAGCUCAACUCCAGAACUGCCAUUGAAACUGUUAGACUUGAGUACGAGAGAGGUGAGUGGAAUUCCCAGUGUAGAGGUGAAAUUCGUAGAUAUUGGGGAAGAACACCGGUGGCGAAGGCGGCUCACUGGCUCGUAACUGACGCUCAGGCGCGACAGCGUGGGGAUCAAACAGG